This 1385-nucleotide long non-coding RNA is filed under the name Oryctolagus cuniculus (rabbit). Its description in RNAcentral is "lncRNA (ENSOCUG00000034616.1)". The record is from RNAcentral. Lineage: Eukaryota; Metazoa; Chordata; Mammalia; Lagomorpha; Leporidae.
AGUUGAAUACAGGGACUGGCAGCACCAGGAGCAGCGCCUGGGAAGGGGUCCCUCAGGGCUCUGGGCGGCCUGAACCACACAAGGCACGAGUAACGAGGUCGGGAGCAGCUGAGAACCGCAAGCUGGCUGCAGCCGCCCUGGGGAGGCUGUGGAGAUGGGAACGCACGCAGGAGUCCGUCUCUGCACAUCUGCUCCACUUCUCUCUCACGUCGGCUCUUCCUCCGCUCAGCCCACAGGGAGGGCAACACCUUCCCUCUGCUCUUCAUUGCAGAUCCAACCGCCUGGCUUCUCUCUCCCCCUCCCUGUCUCCCCCGAGUUCCAGAACAAAGGGUGAGGGCUACAGAUUUGGUCAGACUUGGAGGGGUCAGGGGCACAGGGCCUCGCGGGCGUUUGCUGAGGGUCAGACUGACUGGCGGGUUGUCAACAGGUGGUAUCUUACCGCAGCGCCUUGUGUAUACACAAGAUAAAAAAUCAGACAUCGGUGUCGAUUUGGGGAGCCUAGGAAGCUCCAAAGAGAGCCGCGCUCCACCCAGACUUGCCAAGGGCCCCUCCCUGAGCCCAGCACUGCGGGCAGCAGAGGCCAUGUCCACACGCACGGCUUUCGGGAAGGCCCUGUGCCCGGGACGAAAGGGCAGGUGAGGGCAAGAGUGAGAGCUGCCGAGGCCUCCCAAAAGAAGGUACUGCCCAGCUUCCUCCCACGCGAGAUCCGCGCGCCUCGCACUCACACCCUCGCUCGAGCACAGGAGGUCCCCACAAGCUUUCCCCAGUCCUCAAACGGAUGGCCCUGCCCACGCAGGCGCUGCAGGUGCAUACCUGGCCCACCUACAACGACGCUGCACUUGGAGACACGUCCACCAGAGGGCACUCUAGCGCCUCCGAAUCCGGGCUCCGGACCGCGCAGGGGGCCCCCCAGGUUAGCUGCAGAUUUAUUUGAAAGGUGCAUUAGCAGGAAGCCAGAUCAGAAGUGGAGCUGCUGGGACUCCAAGAGGUACCAACUCUUAACAGCAGAAUUUAAACACAAAAAGGUAUUUCAAGGCCGGCGCCAUGGCUCACUAGGCUAAUCCCCGCCUGCGGCGCCAGCACUCCGGGUUCGUGUCUGGAUAGGGGUGCCGGUUCUGUCCUGGUUGCUCCUCUUCCAGUCCAGCUCUCUGCUAUGGCCUGGGAAAGCAGUAGAAGAUGGCCCAAGUCCUUGGGCCCUUGCACCAGCAUGGGAGACCCAGAAGAAGCUCCUGGUUCCUGGCUUCGGAUCUGCACAGCUCUGGCCAUUGCGGGCAAUUGGAGAGUGAACCAUCAGAUGGAAGACCUCUCUCUCUCUCGGCCUCUCCUCUCUCUGUGAAACUCUGACUUUCAAAUAAAUAAAUAAAUCUUUAAAAAGAAAAUGCUCA